GACGUGGCGGGGUCUAUACUGCAAGUCGAGCGAACAGAGAAGGAGCUUGCUCCUUUGACGUUAGCGGCGGACGGGUGAGUAACACGUGGGCAACCUACCUUAUAGUUUGGGAUAACUCCGGGAAACCGGGGCUAAUACCGAAUAAUCUGUUCCACCUCAUGGUGGAACACUGAAAGACGGUUUCGGCUGUCGCUAUAAGAUGGGCCCGCGGCGCAUUAGCUAGUUGGUGAGGUAACGGCUCACCAAGGCGACGAUGCGUAGCCGACCUGAGAGGGUGAUCGGCCACACUGGGACUGAGACACGGCCCAGACUCCUACGGGAGGCAGCAGUAGGGAAUCUUCCACAAUGGGCGAAAGCCUGAUGGAGCAACGCCGCGUGAGUGAAGAAGGUUUUCGGAUCGUAAAACUCUGUUGUAAGGGAAGAACAAGUACAGUAGUAACUGGCUGUACCUUGACGGUACCUUAUUAGAAAGCCACGGCUAACUACGUGCCAGCAGCCGCGGUAAUACGUAGGUGGCAAGCGUUGUCCGGAAUUAUUGGGCGUAAAGCGCGCGCAGGCGGUCCUUUAAGUCUGAUGUGAAAGCCCACGGCUCAACCGUGGAGGGUCAUUGGAAACUGGGGGACUUGAGUGCAGAAGAGGAAAGUGGAAUUCCAAGUGUAGCGGUGAAAUGCGUAGAGAUUUGGAGGAACACCAGUGGCGAAAGCGACUUUCUGGUCUGUAACUGACGCUGAGCGCGAAAGCGUGGGGAGCAACAGAUUAGAUACCCUGGUAGUCCACGCCGUAACGAUGAGUGCUAGUGUUAGGGGGUUUCGGCCCCUAUUGCUGCAGCUACGCAAUAGCACUCCGCCUGGGGAGUACCGGUCGCAGACUGA
RNAcentral lists this ribosomal RNA (872 nucleotides) under Lysinibacillus xylanilyticus. Its description in RNAcentral is "bacterial SSU rRNA". It matches the Rfam family "Bacterial small subunit ribosomal RNA", at positions 38 to 897 of the family's 1533-position model. The record is from RNAcentral. Lineage: Bacteria; Bacillati; Bacillota; Bacilli; Caryophanales; Bacillaceae.